Molecule: unclassified non-coding RNA, 190 nt
Filed under: soil metagenome
Description: partial internal transcribed spacer 1
Source: RNAcentral
CAGAGUUGCAAAACUCCCACAAAACCAUCGCGAAUCUUACCCGUACGGUUGCCUCGGCGCUGGCGGUCCGGAAGGCCCUCGGGCCCCCCGGAUCCUCGGGUCUCCCGCUCGCGGGAGGCUGCCCGCCGGAGUGCCGAAAGCCAAACUCUUGAUAUUUUAUGUCUCUCUGAGUAAACUUUUAAAUAAGUCA